This 388-nucleotide unclassified non-coding RNA is filed under the name rhizosphere metagenome. RNAcentral describes it as "partial ribosomal RNA internal transcribed spacer region". The record is from RNAcentral.
GUAGGUGAACCUGCGGAAGGAUCAUUAACACGUAUCCAAACGUUAAAACCCCCCUGUGAACCUUCAACACCAAUGCAUCCUGCACACGUUCACGGGUCAACUCCUAGUAAAUCAUUGUCUAAAUCAGAUUUUGAGUUAGGGGCCUCUUUUCAGAGGUGCGGUCGAGCGGUUUAGCAUUAGAUACGUCCCGGCGCUCCUUGCGUAAGAGUUGGCGCAGUAAACGAUCGUUGGGCCCACACGGCCCAGCGUCCGGGGCCUCUCCGCGGUUACAAUCGGCGGCAAGGGAUACGCACGGAGCUUAUCUCAAUGACGAGAGAGACGGCCGGCGCCGAAAGGUUGUAGGCAUUUAAAAAACGAACAACUGUUAACAAUGGAUAUCUUGGUUCUC